Molecule: long non-coding RNA, 3193 nt
Filed under: Capra hircus (goat)
Lineage: Eukaryota; Metazoa; Chordata; Mammalia; Artiodactyla; Bovidae
Description: lncRNA (ENSCHIG00000001558.1)
Source: RNAcentral
CCCCUCCCUCUACUCACACCAGUGUUUGGCUUUGCUAUUUCCAAAUCUACCUAGAAGCUGAUGGACAAGAGAGCUCAUGAACUGCAUUCCUAACGUUGUUCAUGGAACAGGAUGGUGAGCUGACCUGGAAGGGCAGGUGGAAAACACGGGACAGAAUGAAGAAGAAUGAAAAAGAGGGGAAAAGGAAGUUAGCAGGCAAAUAUCACAGCACCUGGAAACAGCGAUGGCCAGACGGAGGCGGGAUGCAGACGCAUUGGGGAGUAUCACAGACUGUCGGUACAGUAGCCAGAGACACCGGGUGUGGACAUUCAGACCUUCUCUGCCUGUUUGGCUUGUCUGGUUGGUUCACGUCUCAAAGGCUGGGAGCCUGUCGCACACCUCAUUUGUGCUCUGACUUGGUCCAAAGCUGUCACAUUGCCCUGUGCAAAGUCCAGUUCUAAGGCUGUGGGAGUGACAAAAUACUUUCUGCUCUGCUGACAGCCUAUGAAAUUAUGUGAGGAGAUUCUUAGAAAUAUUUAUUUCUGAGGCUUGAAAGAAGACUAAAAACUCCAGAGCCAAAAGAUGGAACUGAGGCUCUUACAGGGUCUGAGCCAGGAGUCUGAGCCAGCCACGUAACCCUUCAUCCAGGCUGUUUCUGAAGCACUAAGGGGCAAAAGCCCUAGUGAUUAGGCAUAUUUAUGAAUACAGGAGACUAUAUUCAAAAUUAUUAUUCAAAUAUUUCAGAUAAAAGUGGCAGAAUUUUAACAGUGUUUAAGUGUUAAGCCUAUGAGUAAAAGAAGCAUUUAUUUUAAAUAAAAAAUUUCCUUCAGUGAUUGAGAAAUACUAUGUCAGCAUUCUUUUUCUCUAUCUAUGUACAUGUGACAAAUGGUGGUUGAAAAGGGAUCCAGUUCACGGGAUUGUCUUUCUGCCGUCCAAUCCAUCAUCUUCACAAACACAAUUGUUAUUUAGAGAAAGCUUAUUACUGGGCAUGCACUUUACAGAAAACCCCUGCCUGGAGACCUUCGUCGAUUUUCAUCCUGCAGAUGGACUUUCUCAGCUGGGGAAAGGGAAAGAGAAGAGAGCUCGAGUCACAAGAGGUGUCCACAGAACAGAGGUUGAGCAUCUUUCUGAAACAUUGUGUAAUUGAUGGUAAGUGAAUGUAUUUUAAAAUAUUGCAACAAAUAGAUGUGUAAAUAAUUAUAAUGCAAAAUGAAAUAAACUUUUAAGAUUAACAUUAUUUCAAAACAGAAGGUCAUACUUGCCAUAGGCUGCUUUAGGAUACAUGAGAAUCCUACAGCCUAGAAGCCUGGGUCAAUACUCCUUAAUUUUCAGAGAGAGAUACCAGGAAAGUGCUUCAUGGAUUACAUCCUUAAAAUAGAUGUUUAAUCCUUACCCUCUGAUCUUUCUCCAAUUUUGCUUCCUCCCUCCUUUCUUGUUAUCCUUUCCUCCCUCAUUCAUUUAUUCACUAAAUAUUUUUUGAGCAUCUCCUUUGUGUCAGGCACCAUGUUGAGCUUAAUAAAUACAGAAGGGAAUACAACACAUGGGCUUCCUUUGCUGACAGAGCCUUUGGUCUACCGGGCAGGAAGAGAGUCAGCAAAGAAACAAGAAAACAGACGUAUGUACUUAGCAUCAAAAGCUAUUUUUGAAUACGUGCAAAGAUUAAAACUUUUAAUGAGUCAUGAGAGAUAGUGUUAUAUGGUUGGGGGUGGGGAGAAGCAUCAUUACAGAGGGCCUUUGAGGAUAUAGUAGUUAAGCAAGGCGUUAAAGAAAAGAAGUCCAUGUAGAUCUGGAGAAAGACCAAUCUCACCAGAAGCUCUGAAGAAUAGCAAGCCAGGUAAGAGGCUGCUGCUGCUGCUGCUAAGUCGCUUCAGUGGUGUCUGACUCUGUGCGACUCCAUAGAUGGCAGCCCACCAGGCUCCCCCGUCCCUGGGAUUCUCCAGGCAAGAACACUGGAGUGGGUUGCCAUUUCCUUCUUCAAUGCAUGAAAGUGAAAGUGAAGUCGCUCAGUUGUGUCUGACUCUUCGCGACCCCAUGGACUGCAGCCCACCAGGCUCCUCCAUCUAUGGCAUUUUCCAGGCAAGAGUACUGGAGUGGGGUGCCAUCACCUUCUCCAAGGUAAGAGGCUAGAGUAGCUAAAAAGAGUGAGGCAAUGGGAGACAGGUAGAAGAUGGGUCAGAGAGAUUGUGGGGCUAUGUCACAAAAUCUCUGGAAGACACUGUAGAUACAAGGACAAUGCUAGUAAACUAAUAAUGACAAUUAAUUUAGCAUGCAUAUUGUUAUAAUAUAGUAUGAUAUUAAGCCCUGCUCAGAGAUGUUAAGUGAAUUUCUCAAGCACACACAGUAGCUGUGUCCAUUGGGCUCCAAACUUGUGCUGUGCCCUUAGAAGGAUACUGUCCCUCUGGAGGCUAAUCGACUUGCUCUAAGCCACAGAGACGUUGGUGGGAAUAGUAUUUAAGCUUGGGCUUUUGACGAUGAGCCCUCUCUGUAGGCAACUUUACAUGACCUUGAGGAAAAAAAGCUAUGUAUAGUUGCAACUCACCAAAUGGAAAUUUUUGUUCCUCUUGUAAGACUUUGGGAAGAUAGUCAUAGGCACUUCAAAAACAAAGGCAGAAGAUGGAAGGGUGAUCAAAUAUACUGAUAAGCAUUCUGCUAGAGAGAAUUCACUAGCUGCUAUGGAUUGACUGAGUUAGGAGCCGAAGGGUUCAACUUCAGCGAGAAGACUCAUAUCGCCCCCUGUCGGUAAACUAGAGUAGCUGCAGGGAAUGCUCAGGUCAGAACACAGAAGUCUGGCAGCCAUUUUGCACUUUCAAGCAUCACCAGGGUGUGGAGUCCUGCGCUUCCCCACAGGUUCCCAGACUCCACUGAGGCACGGAUGGUAGGCUUAGCAUUGAUGGAGGGUUAGAAAAUUCUAGAAUACUAGCACUUGAGUGCCACAUCAUCCAAUUCCAAUUUCUUUCUUAUACAGAGGGUGAGAUCAGUGUCUAAAGAGAAGAAGGGACUGGCCCAGGACAACACACAUAUUGGCAGACUUGAAAUGAGAGCCUGAGUUUCCAGAACGCAAGACCAGAACCCGAUAAAGCCAGCUCAGUGAAACAAGGGGAUACUCUUUCAGGUUCCUUUUGAGACAAAUCGUAGAAUAAAUAGUCUUUACAACUCUUGGUAUUUAUUUAUUUAUUAUUUUUUAAUAUAAAUUUAUUUAUUUUAAUUGGAGGUU